This is a long non-coding RNA of Miniopterus natalensis, 634 nucleotides long. RefSeq lists it as uncharacterized. Lineage: Eukaryota; Metazoa; Chordata; Mammalia; Chiroptera; Miniopteridae. The record is from RefSeq and is a predicted model, not a curated record.
GCACCUAGUUUGCUCCGAGCACCGUGCCGGGAGCUGGGUGUGCACUGGUGUACAAAACACGGGGUCCCUGCCCUUUGGGAGCUUAGCAUCUCCCAGGAGAGACGGGACAUCCGAAAACUGACCUCGCACAUGUCCAGUUAGAGCUGGGAGGUGCUCUGAGAAGGAAAGGAACAGGCAAUGGAAAAAAUAUCCUCGGGUGAAGACUGAAAAAGAGUAACUUUCUUUCAGUUCCUUAAAGCCAAUCCCCGAAGCUGCCAUCGCUUAAGCAGGACCUGCCUCAACCUCAUUCAGGAAGGCCUGCCUAAUGGACAGAAAGGAAAAGAUAUGGUGACACGAAGUAAUUCCUGGCAAAGGCCAGGAAGGAACUGAGAGGACGGGCACCUUUCUCUUCAAGGCUUCAUCUGUCCUUUAGGGCUCUCCAAAGACCAGGCUGAAGGCAGACCUCACCAACUCCUGACCUUGAAAGUGGUGGACCUCAAAGUGUUGGAAGAUUCCAGAGAGAGCAGGGUCUGCGUGUAACUGCUCUGAAGAAGCAGAUCUGUUCAUCUAACCCCCUUUAGAAGUUUCCUAUCUGGAUCAUCUGCCAGUGGGAGUCAGGCCCAGAGGCUGGAUGUCCCGGAAAUCAUUUCCAACU